Molecule: long non-coding RNA, 11434 nt
Filed under: Physcomitrium patens
Lineage: Eukaryota; Viridiplantae; Streptophyta; Bryopsida; Funariales; Funariaceae
Description: long non-coding RNA (PPAT_LNC011724)
Source: RNAcentral
UCUAUAGAGCCUUAGAAUACAAAGAGAGGGCUGGUCCUAAGAGAUAUCCCAUAUGGGUUGUAACACAUGGUACCUUGGUACUAGUAUAUAAGAAAAGGGUUGGCAUGGGAAGAAUUAUCUCAUACCACAUUCUAUUUGUGAAGUGCAACCUUGCUGGUCCUAACUUGCUUGUGUGGAGUUUGCUUUCUAUGUUUCAAUACUUUAAGUAGUUGCUAAUGGUCAAGAGAGUACAAGUGUUGUUAGGGAUAUCCCAUAAGGUUUGGUGCUGGUCUAUAGUGCAUUAGAGUACAAAGGGAGGGCUGGUCCUAGGAGAUAUUCCAUAUGGGUUGUAGUACUUGGUACUUUGGUACUAGUAUAUAAAGAAAGGGUUGGCAUGAGAAGAAUCAUCUCAUACCACACUCUAUUUGUUAAAGUGCAACCUUGCUGGUCCUAACUUACUUGUGUGGAGUAUGCUUUCUAUUUUUCAACAGGUUAUGGGCCGACAUUCUCUUACCAAGUAAGUUGUUUUUGCAUUAUUUCUUUGUUUCUUGUUUUUGGUGGUUGAGAUCUUAUGGUAGAGUAAUGCUUGAGAAUUGUCGAAGUCAUUGCUCCUGGAUUUGUGAGUGUAUGAGCUUAGUGCAAGACCUUGAUAGUGUCUUUGCUGAAGAAGUAUUUGAGAGUUUCAUGAGAAAGUAAGACAUUUUGAGUGAAGUGACGUUAGAGAGACGUUUGAAAGUCAUAAAAUCACAUUACAAACCAUUCUCCACCAUUUAGACGUAAUUUGGACUCAAAAUAUGCAAAAAGUUGCAAAACAGCGAAUUCUGGGUUUGUAGUUCAGCAAUCUUUAAGUAGUCAUAUCUUUUGCAUUACAACUCCAAAUCAAGAGUUUUUUGGACCUACUUGUAGCUUGAGAUGGCGUCUUUUGAGGGUGAUAGCUAAAGAGUUGUUGAAAAGUUUAGUGGUGGCAACUUUCACCACUGGAAGGCCAAAAUGGAGCUACUUUUGGCGUCAUUGGAUCUUUGGGAGAUAGUAGAUGAGGAGGAACUUGCACCUGGGGUAGAGGCAAGCAUCAAGGAGAAAAAGGACUUCAAAAGACGAGAGAAGAAGGCUUUUGGCAUAAUUGCCACCAACUUAGAUGAAACCAACUUUGCUCAUGUCAUUUCUUGCAAAGGAGCAGCAGAUGCAUGGAAGACUCUUUGCAAUGUCUAUGAAAGUAGGAAUCUCUCCAAUGUGCUAUGGUCAAGGCAAAAAUUCUUCACCAUGAAGAUGGAAGAAGGUGAAGAUCUCAUGGCUCAUGUGAAUAAGAUAAAAGCACUUUCAAACCAACUUGCUGUUGUUGACAAGCUUUUACUUGAAGAAGAUGUUGUGAUGACAUUGCUCUCAAGCCUUCCGGACAGCUAUUCCUCCCUCAUUAUGGCAUUGGAGUCCAUUUCAAGGAAAGACCUCACUUUGGACUAUGUUACGAUAAGACUAGCCCAUGAAGUGACCAAAAGAAAGCAAAAGGAGUCUAUUGGGGAGCAAUCAGCACUAUUUACAAGACCAAGUAAGGCAAGUGCCCCUUUUCAACGUUAUCCUCGUAAAACUUGUUACAUUUGUGGAAAACCAGGCCAUUUUGCUAGAAAUUGUUUCAAGGCAAAGAGAGGAGAAAGAGAGAAUGCCAACAAACCUUUUCAUGACCAUGGAGGUGAAGACUUUGCAUUCAUGGCAAAAAAAACUCCUUCCAUGCUUGAUAUGAGCAAGUGGAUUGUGGAUUUCGGAUGUACCAAACACAUGACUCCAUACAAGUGUUCAUUUAACACUCAUCAACCAACUCCAGCAACCAAGGUUUGGUUACGUGAUAAUGGUAUGGUACAAGCCAUUGGAAUGGGCACCAUUGUAGUGGAGGUGGUGGUGAAGGGCAUAAGCAAGAGAAUCACUCUCAAGGAUGUGUUGCAUGUGCCAAAGAUGAAGAAGAACCUCCUUUCGGUGAGUAAACUUAUAACUCAUGGGUGCAAAGUGCAAUUUAAUAUGAAUGGAUGUUUUGUGAGAACCAUGGAAGGCAAAGAAGUAGCAAAAGAAACUAGGAUUGGUAAUCUCUAUAUUAUCAAUUGUAAGAAGAUCAAUGGAGUGGAGGUUGCUGCCUUUGCUGAAUUUCCAUCAAAUGAAGAUAAGGUGGGCAUUUGACAUCAAAGACUUGGGCAUUUGAAUGCCAAAAGCAUGAAGGAGCUUCAAUCCAUAGAAAGUGGCUUAGACCUUGGCCAUUCUACCAUGAAUCUUGCUUGUGAGGGAUGUGUUCAAGGCAAACAACAUAGGACACCAUUUCCUAGUGGAGUUGCUACAAGAGGAAACCAAUUGCUGGAGCUUGUGCAUUCGGAUGUUUGUGGACCCAUAAGGACACCAUCUAUGAGUGGAGCAAGGUACUUUGUCACAUUUAUUGAUGACUUCUCAAGGAAGGUAUGGAUUUACAUCAUCAAUGCCAAGAGUGAGUGUUUUGUCAAGUUUAAGGAGUGGAAUGUACUUGUGGAGAAGCAAUGAGAGCACAAGAUUAAGGUGUUGCGAUCGGACAAUGGAGGUGAGUAUUUGUCCAAACACUUUGAUGAGUUAUUGAAGCAAAAAGGCAUUGUAAGACAAACCUCUACUCCCUACACUCCACAACAAAAUAGAGUUGCUGAAAGAGCAAAUCGCACUAUUGUGGAGAUGGCAAGGACUAUGAUUCAUGCUCAAAAACUUGGGUAUGAAUAUUGGGCGGAAGCUGUGGUAAAUGCUGUGUAUACAAGAAAUAGGUAUCCCACAAGUGCACUUGAAGGAUCACAACCAGCAAGAAGUCCUUGGCUUGCAACACAUACAAAGAAUGGUCAGCUUCACUUCUUAUAAAACCUUCCUUCACAAAGAAUGAGUCAAUGCAUUGAUACCAUGCUCUUGGUGAUUGCUUGAGUCCAUACAAUGACUUCUUCAACUUGCAUACAAGGUUGGGUUUGUCUUGAUCAAUAAAUCCUUGAGGUUGCUCCAUGUAGAUGUCUUCUUUCAAUUCUCCAUUCAAGAAGGCUGGCUUGACGUCCAUUUGAUGCAUCUCCAAGUCUAUUGAUGCUCCAAUUGCUACUAUGGUUCUAAUGGUAGUGAAUUUGGCCACUGGAGCAAAUGUCUCAUUAAAAUCUACUCCAGCAACUUGUGAGUAGCCUUUGGCAACCAAUCUUGCCUUGUACCUCACAACAUUGCCUAUAGCAUCUCUCUUGGUUCUAAACACCCACUUACAUCCAAUUGCUGAACGAUUUGGUGGAAGUGGAGUCAACUCUCAUGUCUUGUUGUUCAUAAGAAAUUUGUACUCUUCUUGCAUAGCAAUCUCCCACUUCAUUGCAUCACCACACCUCAUUGCAUCACACAAAGUCAAUGGAUCAUCAAGAAGAGCAACAUUAGCCUGAUCUUCACUUACUUGUGGAAAGAUGUGGUUCUUCCACCAUUCACCUUGUGGUCUUCUUUCACGUGUUGGAUAUCUUCUUUCAUGCAAAGAAGAUGAGCCUUCAUGCACCUCUUGCUGCCUUCUAUGGCUCAUACACUUCCUUCUCUCAUUCAUUGGUUGAUAUUCUUCAUCUUCAUUCUCUUCAUUGUCUUUGUUGUAUCUUGCUGGAAUUGAAGUCUUUAUAGAGUUGGGCUCUUUUUCAAUGAUAUCUUCAUUUCCAUCUUCAAUUUGAGAAUGCUCUUCUUCAUCUUCUUCUUUGUUUGCUGAAAUUGAAGAUGUGUCCACAAACACACCACUACUCCCACUUGAACACAUCUCCCACUUUUCACUUGCACUCUUAUACUCCAAGAACUCUACAUCACGACUUUUGAUGAUCUUUUUGGUGUCUAAACACAUGAGCCUAUAUGCCUUGGUGCCUUCACAAUAUCCAAGGAAUGCACAUCUUGUGCCCAUUGCAUCAAGUUUGCCUCUCAUACUAUCUGGAACUUUAGCAUAUGCAAUGCAUCCAAAAAUCCUCAUAUGAGAUAAACAAGGUUUCUUACCAGUCCAAGCUUCUUCGGGAGUCAUUCCUUCAAGUGCACUUGUGGGACACCUAUUUCUUGUAUAUACGGCAUUUACCACAGCUUCCGCCCAAUACUCAUAUCCAAGCUUUUGAGCAUGAAUCAUACUCCUUGCCAUCUCCACAAUGGUGCGAUUUGCUCUUUCAGCAACUCCAUUUUGUUGUGGGGUAUAGGGAGUGGAGGUUUGUCUUGCAAUGCCUUCAUGCUUCAAUAACUCAUCAAAGUCUUUGGACAAAUACUCACCUCCAUUGUCCGAUCGCAGCACCUUAAUCUUGUGCUCACAUUGCUUCUCCACAAGUGCUUUCCACUCCUUAAACUUAGCAAAACACUCACUUUUGGCCUUGAUGAUAUAAAUCCAUACCUUCCUUGAAAAGUCAUCAAUAAAUGUGACAAAAUAUCUUGCUCCACUCAUAGAUGGUGUUUUCAUGGGUCCACAAACAUCCGAAUGCACAAGCUCCAGCAAUUGAUUUGCUCUUGUUGCAAUUCCACUAGGAAAUGGUGUCCUAUGUUGUUUGCCAUGAAUGCAAAGUCAUCACCUCCAUGGUCAUGAAAAGCAUUAUUGGCAUUCUCUCUUUCUCCUCUCUUUGCCUUGAAACAAUUCCUAGCAAAAUGCCCUGGUUUUCCACAAAUAUAACAAGUUUUGGGAAGAUUAUGUUGAAUGGAAGUACUUGCCUUACUUGGUCUCGUGAAUAGUGCUGAUUGCUCUUGAUAAUAUAGAGAUUGCCAUCUCUUGGUUACUUCAUGGGCUAGUCUUGCCGUGACAUAGUCCAAAGUGAGGUCUUUCCUUGAAAUGAACUCCAAUGCCACAAUGAGGGAGAAAUAGGAGUCCGGAAGGCUUGAGAGCAAUGUCAUCACAACAUCUUCUUCAAGUAAAGGCUUGUCAACAACAGCAAGUUGGUUUGCAAGUGCUUUUACUUUAUUCACAUGAGCCAUGAGAUCUUCACCUUCUUCCAUCUUCACGGUGAAGAACUUUUGCCUUGACCAUAGCACAUUGGAAAGAUUCCUACUCUCAUAGACAUUGCAAAGAGUCUUCCAUGCAUCUGCUGCUCCUUUACAAGAAAUGACAUGAGCAAAGUUGGUUUCAUCUAAGAUGGUGGCAAUUAUGCCAAAAGCCUUCUUUUCUCGUCUUUUGAAGUCCUUUUGCUCCUUCAUGCUUGCCUCUAAUCCAGGUGCCUCUUCCUCCUCACAUAAUAUCUCCCAAAGAUCCAAUGACGCAAAAAGUAGCUCCAUUUUGGCCUUCCAGUGGUGAAAGUUGUCACCUCUAAAAUUUUCUACCAUUCUUAAGCUAUCACUCUCAAAAGAUACCAUCUCAAGCUACAAGUAGGUCCAAAAAUCUCUUGAUUUGGAGUUGUAAUGCAAAAGAUAUGACUACCCAAAGAUUGCUAAACUACAAACUCAAAAUUCGCUGUUUUGCAACUUUUUGCAUAUUUUGAGUGCAAAUCACGUCUAAAUUGUGGGAAAUGCUAUGUCAUGUAAUUCUAUGGCUUUCAAACAUCUCCCUCACAUCAUUUCACUCAAAGGGAGUCAUUCCUUCAAGUGCACUUGUGGGACACCUAUUUCUUGUAUACACGGCAUUUACCACAGCUUCCGCCCAAUACUCAUACCCAAGUUUUUGAGCAUGAAGCAUACUCCUAGCCAUCUCCACAAUGGUGCGAUUUGCUCAACCAACAAAAACUACUUAAAGAGUUCUUUUCUCAACAGGUUUGUCUUUCAAUGCCUUCAUGUUUCAAUAAUUCAUUGAAGUGAUGAGACAAAUACUCACCUCGUGUUGAAGGAAAGAACUCAUUUAGUUGUUGCUAAUGGUCAAUAGAGUAUAUAAGUAAUGAGGGAUAUCCUACAAGGUUAGUUGCUGGUCUAUAGUGCCUUAGAAUACAAGGAGAGGGCUGGUCCUAAGAGAUAUCCCAUAUGGGUUGUAACACAUGGUACCUUGGUACUAGUAUAUAAGAAAAGGGUUUGCAUGGGAAGAAUCAUCUCAUACCACAUUCUAUUUGUGAAGUGCAACCUUGCUGGUCCUAACUUGCUUGUGUGGAGUUUGCUUUCUAUGUUUCAAUAGGUUAUGGGCCCACACUCUCUUACCAAGUAAGUUGUUCUUGCAUUAUUUCUUUGUUGCUUACUUUGGUGGUUGGGAUCUUGUGGUAGAGUGUUGCUAGUGUGUUGUUGAAGUCAUUGCUCCUGGAUUUGUGAGUAUAUGAGUUUUGUGCAAGACCUUGAUAGUGUCUUUGCUGAAGUAACACUAGUGUUUGAAAGUUUUAUGAGAUAGUGAGUCAUUUUGAGUGGAGUGACGUGAGGGAGACUUAUGAGAGCCAUAGAAUUACUUUACAAUUCAUUCCCCACCAUUUAGACGUGAUUUGGACUCAUAAUUUACAAAAAGUUGCAAAACAGCGAAUUCUGGGUUUGUGGUUCAGCGAUCUUUGAGUAGUGAUAUCUUCUCCAUUACAACUCCAAAUCAAGAGUUUUUUGGACCUACGUGUAGCUUGAGAUGGCAUCUUUUGAGGGUGAUAGCUUGAGAAUGGUUGAAAAGUUCAAAGGUGACAACUUUCACCACUGGAAGGCCAAAAUGGAGCUACUUUUGGCGUCAUUGGAUCUUUGGGAGAUUGUAUGUGAGGAGGAAGAGGCACCUGGGGUAGAGGCAAGCAUCAAGGAGCAUAAGGAGUUCAAAAGACGAGAAAAGAAGGCUUUUGGCAUAAUUGCCACCAAUUUAGAUGAGAGCAACUUUGCUCAUGUUAUUUCUUGCAAAGGGGCAGCAGAGGCAUGGAAGACUCUUUGCAACGUCUAUGAGAGUAGAAAUCUCUCCAAUGUACUAUGGUCAAGGCAAAAAUUCUUCACCGUGAAGAUGGAAGAAGGUGAAGAUCUCAUGGCUCAUGUGAAUAAGGUAAAAGCACUUGCAAACCAACUUGCUGUUAUUGACAAGCCUUUACAUGAAGAAGAUGUUGUGAUGACAUUGCUCUCAAGCCUUCCGGACUCCUAUUCCUCCCUCAUUGUGGCAUUGGAGUCAAUUUCAAGAAAAGAUCUUACUUUGGACUAUGUCACGGCAAGACUAGCCCAUGAAGUGACCAAAAGAAAGCAAAAGGAGUCUAUUGGAGAGCAAUCAGCACUAUUCACGAGACCAAGUAAGGCAAGUACUUCCAUUCAACAUAAUCUUCCCAAAACUUGUUAUAUUUGUGGAAAACCAGGGCAUUUUGCUAGGAAUUGUUUCAAGGCAAAGAGAGGAGAAAGAGAGAAUGCCAAUAAUGCUUUUCAUGACCAUGGAGGUGAUGACUUUGCAUUCAUGGCAAACAACAUAGGACACCAUUUCCUAGUGGAAUUGCAACAAGAGCAAAUCAAUUGCUGGAGCUUGUGCAUUCGGAUGUUUGUGGACCCAUGAAAACACCAUCUAUGAGUGGAGCAAGAUAUUUUGUCACAUUUAUUGAUGACUUUUCAAGGAAGGUAUGGAUUUAUAUCAUCAAGGCCAAAAGUGAGUGUUUUGCUAAGUUUAAGGAGUGGAAAGCACUUGUGGAGAAGCAAUGUGAGCACAAGAUUAAGGUGCUGCGAUCGGACAAUGGAGGUGAGUAUUUGUCCAAAGACUUUGAUGAGUUAUUGAAGCAUGAAGGCAUUGCAAGACACACCUCCACUCCCUAUACCCCACAACAAAAUGGAGUUGCUGAAAGAGCAAAUCGCACCAUUGUGGAGAUGGCAAGGAGUAUGAUUCAUGCUCAAAAGCUUGGAUAUGAGUAUUGGGCGGAAGCUGUGGUAAAUGCCGUAUAUACAAGAAAUAGGUGUCCCUCAAGUGCAUUUGAAGGAAUGACUCCCGAAGAAGCUUGGACUGGUAAGAAACCUUGUUUAUCUCAUAUGAGGAUUUUUGGAUGCAUUGCAUAUCUUCACUUUGAGAAUGUUCUUCUUCAUCUUCUUGUUUGUUUGUUGGAGUUGAAGAUGUGUCCACAAACACACCACUACUCCCACUUGGACACAUCUCCCACUUUUCACUACCACUCUUAUGCUCCAAGAACUCUACAUCACGACUUUUGAUGAUCUUUUUGGUAUCUAAACACAUGAGCCUAUAUGCCUUGGUGCCUUCACAAUAACCAAGGAAUAUACAUCUUGUGCCUUUUGCAUCAAGUUUGCCUCUCAUACUAUCUGGAACCUUGGCAUAUGCAAUGCAUCCAAAAGACCUCAUGUGAGAUAUGCAAGGUUUCUUACUAGUCCAAUCUUCUUGGGGAGUCAUUCCUUCAAGUGCACUUGUGGGACACCUAUUUCUUGUAUACACGGCAUUUACCACAGCUUCCGCCCAAUACUCAUACCCAAGUUUUUGAGCAUGAAGCAUACUCCUAGCCAUCUCCACAAUGGUGCGAUUUGCUCUUUCAGCAACUCUAUUUUGUUGUGGGGUGUAGGGAGUGGAGGUUUGUCUUUCAAUGCCUUCAUGUUUCAAUAAUUCAUUGAAGUGAUGAGACAAAUACUCACCUCGUGUUGAAGGAAAGAACUCAUUUAGUUGUUGCUAAUGGUCAAUAGAGUAUAUAAGUAAUGAGGGAUAUCCUACAAGGUUAGUUGCUGGUCUAUAGUGCCUUAGAAUACAAGGAGAGGGCUGGUCCUAAGAGAUAUCCCAUAUGGGUUGUAACACAUGGUACCUUGGUACUAGUAUAUAAGAAAAGGGUUUGCAUGGGAAGAAUCAUCUCAUACCACAUUCUAUUUGUGAAGUGCAACCUUGCUGGUCCUAACUUGCUUGUGUGGAGUUUGCUUUCUAUGUUUCAAUAGGUUAUGGGCCCACACUCUCUUACCAAGUAAGUUGUUCUUGCAUUAUUUCUUUGUUGCUUACUCUGGUGGUUGGGAUCUUAUGGUAGAGUGUUGCUAGUGUGUUGUUGAAGUCAUUGCUCCUGGAUUUGUGAGUAUAUGAGUUUUGUGCAAGACCUUGAUAGUGUCUUUGCUGAAGUAACACUAGUGUUUGAAAGUUUCAUGAGAUAGUGAGUCAUUUUGAGUGGAGUGACGUGAGGGAGACUUAUGAGAGCCAUAGAAUUACUUUACAAUUCAUUCCCCACCAUUUAGACGUGAUUUGGACUCAUAAUUUACAAAAAGUUGCAAAACAGCGAAUUCUGGGUUUGUGGUUCAGCGAUCUUUGAGUAGUGAUAUCUUCUCCAUUACAACUCCAAAUCAAGAGUUUUUUGGACCUACGUGUAGCUUGAGAUGGCAUCUUUUGAGGGUGAUAGCUUGAGAAUGGUUGAAAAGUUCAAAGGUGACAACUUUCACCACUGGAAGGCCAAAAUGGAGCUACUUUUGGCGUCAUUGGAUCUUUGGGAGAUUGUAUGUGAGGAGGAAGAGGCACCUGGGGUAGAGGCAAGCAUCAAGGAGCAUAAGGAGUUCAAAAGACGAGAAAAGAAGGCUUUUGGCAUAAUUGCCACCAAUUUAGAUGAGAGCAACUUUGCUCAUGUUAUUUCUUGCAAAGGGGCAGCAGAGGCAUGGAAGACUCUUUGCAACGUCUAUGAGAGUAGAAAUCUCUCCAAUGUACUAUGGUCAAGGCAAAAAUUCUUCACCGUGAAGAUGGAAGAAGGUGAAGAUCUCAUGGCUCAUGUGAAUAAGGUAAAAGCACUUGCAAACCAACUUGCUGUUAUUGACAAGCCUUUACAUGAAGAAGAUGUUGUGAUGACAUUGCUCUCAAGCCUUCCGGACUCCUAUUCCUCCCUCAUUGUGGCAUUGGAGUCAAUUUCAAGAAAAGAUCUUACUUUGGACUAUGUCACGGCAAGACUAGCCCAUGAAGUGACCAAAAGAAAGCAAAAGGAGUCUAUUGGAGAGCAAUCAGCACUAUUCACGAGACCAAGUAAGGCAAGUACUUCCAUUCAACAUAAUCUUCCCAAAACUUGUUAUAUUUGUGGAAAACCAGGGCAUUUUGCUAGGAAUUGUUUCAAGGCAAAGAGAGGAGAAAGAGAGAAUGCCAAUAAUGCUUUUCAUGACCAUGGAGGUGAUGACUUUGCAUUCAUGGCAAACAACAUAGGACACCAUUUCCUAGUGGAAUUGCAACAAGAGCAAAUCAAUUGCUGGAGCUUGUGCAUUCGGAUGUUUGUGGACCCAUGAAAACACCAUCUAUGAGUGGAGCAAGAUAUUUUGUCACAUUUAUUGAUGACUUUUCAAGGAAGGUAUGGAUUUAUAUCAUCAAGGCCAAAAGUGAGUGUUUUGCUAAGUUUAAGGAGUGGAAAGCACUUGUGGAGAAGCAAUGUGAGCACAAGAUUAAGGUGCUGCGAUCGGACAAUGGAGGUGAGUAUUUGUCCAAAGACUUUGAUGAGUUAUUGAAGCAUGAAGGCAUUGCAAGACACACCUCCACUCCCUAUACCCCACAACAAAAUGGAGUUGCUGAAAGAGCAAAUCGUACCAUUGUGGAGAUGGCAAGGAGUAUGAUUCAUGCUCAAAAGCUUGGAUAUGAGUAUUGGGCGGAAGCUGUGGUAAAUGCCGUGUAUACAAGAAAUAGGUGUCCCUCAAGUGCAUUUGAAGGAAUGACUCCCGAAGAAGCUUGGACUGGUAAGAAACCUUGUUUAUCUCAUAUGAGGAUUUUUGGAUGCAUUGCAUAUCUUCACUUUGAGAAUGUUCUUCUUCAUCUUCUUGUUUGUUUGUUGGAGUUGAAGAUGUGUCCACAAACACACCACUACUCCCACUUGGACACAUCUCCCACUUUUCACUACCACUCUUAUGCUCCAAGAACUCUACAUCACGACUUUUGAUGAUCUUUUUGGUAUCUAAACACAUGAGCCUAUAUGCCUUGGUGCCUUCACAAUAACCAAGGAAUAUACAUCUUGUGCCUUUUGCAUCAAGUUUGCCUCUCAUACUAUCUGGAACCUUGGCAUAUGCAAUGCAUCCAAAAGACCUCAUGUGAGAUAUGCAAGGUUUCUUACUAGUCCAAUCUUCUUGGGGAGUCAUUCCUUCAAGUGCACUUGUGGGACACCUAUUUCUUGUAUACACGGCAUUUACCACAGCUUCCGCCCAAUACUCAUACCCAAGUUUUUGAGCAUGAAGCAUACUCCUAGCCAUCUCCACAAUGGUGCGAUUUGCUCUUUCAGCAACUCCAUUUUGUUGUGGGGUGUAGGGAGUGGAGGUUUGUCUUUCAAUGCCUUCAUGUUUCAAUAAUUCAUUGAAGUGAUGAGACAAAUACUCACCUCGUGUUGAAGGAAAGAACUCAUUUAGUUGUUGCUAAUGGUCAAUAGAGUAUAUAAGUAAUGAGGGAUAUCCUACAAGGUUAGUUGCUGGUCUAUAGUGCCUUAGAAUACAAGGAGAGGGCUGGUCCUAAGAGAUAUCCCAUAUGGGUUGUAACACAUGGUACCUUGGUACUAGUAUAUAAGAAAAGGGUUUGCAUGGGAAGAAUCAUCUCAUACCACAUUCUAUUUGUGAAGUGCAACCUUGCUGGUCCUAACUUGCUUGUGUGGAGUUUGCUUUCUAUGUUUCAAUAGGUUAUGGGCCCACACUCUCUUACCAAGUAAGUUGUUCUUGCAUUAUUUCUUUGUUG